UAGUAGCUCAAUGGAUAGAGCAACGGACUUCGGAUCCGUCGGUUGCAGGUUCGACUCCUGUCUGGC
Molecule: transfer RNA, 66 nt
Filed under: bovine gut metagenome
Rfam family: tRNA
About the family: Transfer RNA (tRNA) molecules are approximately 80 nucleotides in length.
Source: RNAcentral